Long non-coding RNA from Heterocephalus glaber (naked mole-rat), 479 nucleotides. NCBI's taxonomy places the organism in Eukaryota, Metazoa, Chordata, Mammalia, Rodentia, Bathyergidae. The record is from Ensembl.
UUUUAGGAAGAUGUUAAGUGUGGCAGUGGUGGAGAAAAUGCUGCUCAUGUGGCGUGGGUGAACUUUAUGACCGAAGUCGGUCACCAGAUGCAGACACAGAGAGGACAGACGGGAAGAGACAUGGCUGUCAUUUCCAGUUCUGCCCCUCGGUACUGUGUGACCCUGGAUAAGUCAUCGGAGCUUUUCUGUGCCUCCCUUAGAAGGUGAAAAAGCAGGUGAGCUAACACAGACGUAAUCGUGGGUGACAUAAACGUUAUCGACAGAACACCAGAGAGAAGAGUCAACGACUUCAAAGAAAUGUGACACUACUACCAGGGAGGGGAUUUCUGGCCUCUUCCACAGCCCUGGUGAAAAUCUUGCUAGGAACAAUACGUCUUCUGUGAAACCCUCUCCACAGAAAGUGGUGGACAUAAAUCUCCCCUCUCACCGCUGGUGCUGAAGUCAAACCGAGACCAGCUAGAGGAUUUGGAAGGAUUGGC